GAUGAACGCUAGCGGCAGGCCUAAUACAUGCAAGUCGAGGGGCAGCACGGUAGCAAUACUGGUGGCGACCGGCGCACGGGUGCGUAACACGUAUACAAUCUGCCUUUAACAGGGGGAUAGCCUUUCGAAAGAGAGAUUAAUACCCCAUAACGGUUUGACUGGCAUCAGUUGAAUUUGAAAGCUCCGGCGGUUAAAGAUGAGUAUGCGUUUGAUUAGCUAGUAGGUGAGGUAACGGCUCACCUAGGCGACGAUCAAUAGGGGAUCUGAGAGGAUUAACCCCCACACGGAUACUGAGACACGGAUCCGACUCCUACGGGAGGCAGCAGUAAGGAAUAUUGGACAAUGCCCGCAAGGGUGAUCCAGCCAUGCCGCGUGCAGGAAGAAGGCCCUAUGGGUCGUAAACUGCUUUUACACCGGAGAAAACCUUCCCUCGUGAGGGGAGCUGAUAGUAUGGUGAGAAUAAGCAUCGGCUAACUUCGUGCCAGCAGCCGCGGUAAAG
RNAcentral lists this ribosomal RNA (499 nucleotides) under uncultured bacterium. RNAcentral describes it as "bacterial SSU rRNA". It matches the Rfam family "Bacterial small subunit ribosomal RNA", at positions 28 to 525 of the family's 1533-position model. The record is from RNAcentral.